GAGUUGGUCUUUAUUUAUUUUGGUUACUCCAAGGCCAUCCUUUCUGUUCUUUCGAGUUUGCGUCCUUCAUUUUUUGCUUUUGUGGCCUAAACUUAGAGGAGGCUCUAGCCAACGAUGUAUGUUCUGUCCUUCAAAGAGAACAUCAUAACAGAGCUGCAGAGUUUGUGGUCAAGGAUGUCUAAUUAAUUCAGGCAAAGCAUUUUGAAUUUGAUGUUCCAAAUGAUUUCUUGGUGAUGGGCAAAGACUGGCGAAGCAUUAAAGGAAACAGUUUAGUGUGAAGUAAGAGCACCCAAAAAGAAGUCCAGGUAAAGGUCAAAGCAGCUAGCAUAAAAGCAUCACAAACUAUUUAUCGAUGUGCUGCUAUCCUUAUUAGUCUCUUUAAUAUGACAACUAUGUAAUUAUUUCUAUAAAUAGUUUGUAAGAAAUUUAUUCACGAGAGCACAUGAAAGUUACAAAAUUGAAUCUGAUAUGGAGUUGCUUGGUAUUUUUUAAUUAA
This is a non-coding RNA of Theobroma cacao (cacao), 496 nucleotides long. The record is from RefSeq and is a predicted model, not a curated record. Lineage: Eukaryota; Viridiplantae; Streptophyta; Magnoliopsida; Malvales; Malvaceae.